Molecule: non-coding RNA, 574 nt
Organism: Pelobates cultripes (western spadefoot toad)
Lineage: Eukaryota; Metazoa; Chordata; Amphibia; Anura; Pelobatidae
Source: the annotation of a GenBank genome assembly
CCAGGGUAUCUCAUAAGGUGCAUAUUGUGCCUUAACAUGCCCCCAUUUUUUCACCAAUAUAUGCCAAAGUAUGUGGUAAAAAAUAAUUUUGUACAUUUUUUACAUAUGGAUUGCAUUUUUGCUUGGCGUUUUGUAUAUUUCAUAUGUGCCACUAGUACAAGGACACCCCUAUUGUAUGUCUUUAGCACUAUUUCGUGAAGCUACAGUGCCAUAUAGGAGACCUGUCCUUUUCAGUAUUCACAGUAGAAUUUUGAGAGAUGGAUUUAAUGAGCCUUAGCUUCCAUUUGGGGUAUUAUAACAGUUUGACUGUUCAAAAAAAACCCACAAAGGCCUACCAUUUGUAAAAAUAGACACUCCAGGGUAUCUUAUAAGGUGCAUAUUGUGCCUUAACAUGCCCCCAUUUUUUCACCAAUAUAUGCCAAAGUAUGUGGUAAAAAAUAAUUUUGUGCAUUUUUUUACAUACGGAUUGCAUUUUUGCUGGGCGUUUUGUAUAUUUCAUAUGUGCCACUAAGUUCAAACCUCCCAAAUUAUGCUCAGCUAAGUCUUCUGAGUAAAAAGACACCCCCAAUGAAUG